RNAcentral lists this ribosomal RNA (253 nucleotides) under uncultured bacterium. Its description in RNAcentral is "partial 16S ribosomal RNA". It matches the Rfam family "Bacterial small subunit ribosomal RNA", at positions 524 to 776 of the family's 1533-position model. The record is from RNAcentral.
UACGAAGGGAGCUAGCGUUGUUCGGAAUUACUGGGCGUAAAGGGCGCGUAGGCGGUCCGAUAAGUCAGAUGUGAAAGCCCUAGGCUCAACCUGGGAACUGCGUUUGAUACUAUCGGUCUUGAAUUCGGGAGAGGUGAGUGGAAUUGCCAGUGUAGAGGUGAAAUUCGUAGAGAUUGGCAAGAACACCCGUGGCGAAGGCGGCUCACUGGACCGACAUUGACGCUGAGGCGCGAAAGCGUGGGGAGCAAACAGG